UUGCUUCGUGAAAAGAAAACUCUCGAAAGUUUACCUGUGCUUCAAAAAGCCAUUCUUCCCAAAUUCCAAAAAGAACUCAUGCUUAAAAUAACUUGCUACGUGACCGAUUAUGAACCGGAUCGAGAGAAUAAAACUGGACAACCGAUGGAGAGGAAUUGCCGAUUACUCAGUUGCCGAUAUUAUUAGAAAUCAAAUCCACCAACCCCCUCACCAGUAGCACUAGCAGCCUCCUCUCUUUAUCUCCCUCACCAACUACUCAGUAAUCCGUCCAUAGGAGUCUACUGCAAAUUCUUCAAAUUCCUCAUCUCUCUCAAUGGAAUCGAGCAAUCUCUCAUUAUCAGGUAUUGAAACGAAUACUGGAGGAGGAGGAAUGAGAACAAAUUCAACAUUAAUUUGUGCACCAAUUAUGGGGAAAUCAAUUGAUCAGAUGUUUAUUGAUAUGGCUAAAGCUAAAGAAAUUGGAGUUGAUAUUGUUGAGAUUCGAUUAGAUUACUUAUCAAGUUUCAGUCCUCGUCAAGAUCUUCAAAACCUAAUUGAAAAUUGUACUAUGUUAACUCUUUUCACUUACAGACCGAAAUGGGAAGGUGGUGAGUAUGAAGGUGAUGAUAGCAUUCGGCUAGAUGCACUAAAACUUGCCAUGGAACUGGGAGCUGAUUAUAUUGAUGUUGAGCUUCAGGUUGCGCAUGAGUUUAUUAGUUCGUUAGAUGAGAAGAUACGUGAAAAAUCUAAAAUUAUUGUUUCUUCUCAUAACUACCAUGCCACUCCUUCAGUUGAGGAAAUAGGCGAUCUUGUGGCAAGAAUACAAUCUACUGGUGCUGACAUAGUGAAGAUUGCAACAACUGCUGUGGAUGUCGCAGAUGUCGCUGGCAUGUUUCAAAUUAUAGUGCAUUCCCAAGUAAGCCAUGUUCCAUUUAUAGGAUUGGUAAUGACUGAAAAGGGUUUGAUCUCACGGUUACUUUGUCCUAAAUAUGGUGGAUAUCUCACUUUUGGUACUCUCGAAGAGGGAGUAGUAUCAGCUCCCGGGCAACCAACAAUCAAGGAUUUGUUGGAUAAAUACAACCUCAGACACAUAGGUGCUGAUACAAAAGUAUUUGGAAUUAUUGGGAAGCCUGUAGGUCACAGCAAGAGCCCUCUUUUGUUUAACAAAGCCUUUAAGUCUGUUGGUUUUAAUGGAGUUUAUGUGCCCUUUUUAGUGGAUGACCUUGCAAAGUUUUUGGCUACAUAUGCAUCUGCUGAUUUUGCUGGCUUCAGUUGCACGAUUCCGCACAAAGAAGCUGCACUUAAAUGCUGUGAUGAGGUUGAUCCAAUUGCCAAGUUAAUCGGAGCUGUUAAUACCAUUGUCAGGAGACCAAGUGAUGGGAAGUUAAUUGGUUACAACACGGACUAUAUUGGUGCUAUUUCUGCUAUAGAAGAUGGGAUGAGAGGUUCAAAUAAAAUUUACCAGGGAACUGGUUCACCCUUAGCUGGUAAAUUGUUUGUAGUCAUUGGAGCAGGUGGUGCAGGUAAGGCCCUUGCUUAUGGUGCAAAGGCAAAGGGAGCGAGAGUUGUGAUAGCCAACCGCACUUAUGAGCGCGCCAGAGAACUAGCAGAUUUGGUCGGAGGAGAUGCAGUUACUCUUGCUCAAUUGGAAACUUUCCGUCCAGAGGAUGGAAUGGUUCUUGCAAAUACGACCUCUAUAGGAAUGCAGCCGAAAAUUGAAGAAACACCCAUACCAAAGCAUGCCCUAAGUGCUUAUGCCCUGGUUUUUGAUGCCGUCUACACUCCAAAAAUGACAAGACUCUUGCUGGAAGCAGAAGAAUCUGGAGCCACAGUUGUUACUGGCGUAGAGAUGUUCAUUGGGCAGGCAUAUGAACAAUAUGAAAGGUUCACUGGUUUGCCAGCGCCUAAGGAACUAUUUAGGGAAACCAUGUCUAAACUGUAAUUAGUAAGUUGAUCUGGUUGUGCGCUCUCGGCCUAUUUUAUAUCCCUAAAUUUCAUUUAUGAGAUUGGUUAUUGAGUUGUAUCGCUACCCAAUUGAUAUCUAGAGUUGUUAUAGCAAAUGUGCUUCUGUAAUACAGAUAGAUCUUUGCAAGUGCUUAUAUUUUUGUUGUAAUUUAGAUUCUAGACCAAAAUAAAGCUGUUUCCCUUUUAUCAUUUCAGUGAUUUACAUAUCCAUGGAAGAUUGUUCCUGAUUGAGUAGUCCUGGUCAACUGAAGCUUCUGUAGUGAGUCAAGAGAUGUAAUAGUCUGAUUACCAGGUACACAUGCAAUGCUGACUGAUAAUAAACAUCUCUAUCUCCUCACUGGAAGGUUGUUCGUUUUGGCUUGACUGUUAGACAGUUGGCAGGGGAGGGUCAUCUCUUCUUUGUCAGGUAAAAUCCACUGCACAGAAAAAUGAAAAAAACUUCUUGCAUCUGAACUGCAAGAAUCAACAGAAAGAAUUCUUGCACGUUGAAAUCAACUGCGAGGUCCUACCUUGACUGAAAUCAUGACAAGAACUCAUCAGCCGUGACGCAAAUCACGGCCCCCAUUUCAAGGGUAUCCAUCUAGGAUUUUGUGAUCAUUGUGAUGAACUUUAGAUCAAGUUUUCUGAACAACAUCAUUGGAUGGCUGCUUUUUAAUAACAUCAUUGCCUGA
RNA transcript from Papaver somniferum (opium poppy), 2615 nucleotides. It is a transcript of the gene named bifunctional 3-dehydroquinate dehydratase/shikimate dehydrogenase, chloroplastic-like, with no coding region annotated. The record is from RefSeq and is a predicted model, not a curated record. NCBI's taxonomy places the organism in Eukaryota, Viridiplantae, Streptophyta, Magnoliopsida, Ranunculales, Papaveraceae. The transcript is spliced from 8 exons.